UCUAAUAUGGCAGAUAAGUGCAAUGGAUUUAAGCUCCAUAAAUAAAAAUUUUUAAUUUUUUAUUAGAA
This 68-nucleotide transfer RNA is filed under the name Rhabdoblatta nigrovittata. Its description in RNAcentral is "tRNA-Leu". Lineage: Eukaryota; Metazoa; Arthropoda; Insecta; Blattodea; Blaberidae. The record is from RNAcentral.